Long non-coding RNA from Physella acuta, 1625 nucleotides. RefSeq lists it as uncharacterized. NCBI's taxonomy places the organism in Eukaryota, Metazoa, Mollusca, Gastropoda, Physidae. The record is from RefSeq and is a predicted model, not a curated record.
GGUUGUUUACAUGGUAUAAAAUAGGCCUCGGUGUCAAAUAGUGGACAGUUAACUUGUGGGCAGGCAUUUGAGAACGAUCGUGAGUUUACAGUGAGGAACAACUUCUUUAUUCUUCUAGACGAUACUGUAUCAGCUAUUGAGCUGCCAUAACCCAGCCAGAAUGUAUGGAAGAAACAGAAACAACAACCUCCGACGAAUGUACGGGUUUUUCCGUUGUUCAAAGUGCAACAAAGUUUGGGAAAGUUCCCAUGUGUAUUGUCACAAAAGAACGGAGCAGGCGGAGUACGGGCAGGAGUGCAAGGAUUGUGCAGUGAUGUGUAUGCCGUACCGUGUUGAGAGACUGACCUGCUCAUUAUGUGGACAAAAAGACUGUAACUGUAUCAGGGAUCGUCACGUGGACCCCAACAAAGCUCACAGAUCGGAUCUUUGUGCCAAGUGUCGCGCUGGCUUCCCGUGUCAAUAGUAGACAGGACAUCAACAUUUUAGCUCAAAUAUUGAGCUAGACAUCAACAUUUUAGCUCAAAUAUUGAGCUGGACAUCAACACUUUAGCUCAAAUCUUUUGCUUGACAUCAACAUUUUAGCUCAAAUAUUGAGCUGGACAUCAACAUUUUAGCUCAAAUAUUGAUCAGGACAUCAACAUUUUAGCUCAAAUAUUGAUCAGGACAUCAACAUUUUAGCUCAAAUAUUGAUCAGGACAUCAACAUUUUAGCUCAAAUAUUGAGCUGGACAUCAACAUUUUAGCUCAAAUAUUGAGCAGGACAUCAACAUUUUAGCUCCAUCAUUCAGUGGGAUAUCAAAAUUUUAGCUCAGGCAUUUAAAUGACAUCAAAAUAUUUCUGCUCCAUCAAAAAGCAGAACAUCAAAAUUGUGUAACUCAAACUUUCAUCAGAUAUCAAUAUAUUUUUGCUCUGAAUUUCAGUAGGACAAGUUUGAUUAGCUCCCACUAGUUGCAUAACCUUAUAUUUUAGCUCCUGCUUUAAGCCAUUCAAAUCGUUUAUUGCCAAUUUUGAACAGGAAGUCCAGAGUCCUAGCUCCAUCAUCUGUGAUAUUUUUCUUUUGGUCAUUUCUAUAUGGGCCAAAUCAGCUUGGGUCUUUUAGUAUAAUUAGUCUUUUCUAAACCGUGUCUUUUUAAUCACGUUUUUCAAUGUUAUACGAGAGCAAACGUGCAAGUUAUUGCUAAAUGUGUUGUGAUGUUGUGGGAAUGUUUGAAAAAAUAUUUUAUGGUGUUGUGAGAUUGUUUGCUAGAUAAUUUAUGGUAUUGUGAGAUUGUUUGAAUAAUAUGUUAUGGUAUUGUGAGAUUAUUUGAAAAAUUUUUUGUGGUAUUGUGAGAAUAUUUGAAAAAUAUUUUAUGGUUUUGUGAGAUUUUUUGUAAAAUAUUUUAUGGUGUUUUGAUAUUGUUUGAAAGAUAUUUUAUGGUGUUUUGAUAUUGUUUGCUAAAUAAUUUAUGGUAUUGUGAGAUUGUUUGAAAAGUAUUUUAUGGUUUUGUGAGAUUGUUUGAAAAUAUUUUAUGGUGUUUUGAUAUUGUUUGCUAAAUAAUUUAUGGUAUUGCGAGAAAGUUUGAAAAAUAUUUUAUGGUAUUGUGAGAAUGUUGGAAAAACAUUACAUUUAUCAUCGCAAUACAUUUU